This 428-nucleotide ribosomal RNA is filed under the name uncultured bacterium. Its description in RNAcentral is "bacterial SSU rRNA". It matches the Rfam family "Bacterial small subunit ribosomal RNA", at positions 355 to 775 of the family's 1533-position model. The record is from RNAcentral.
UGGGGAAUAUUGGACAAUGGGCGCAAGCCUGAUCCAGCAAUGUCGCGUGUGUGAAGAAGGCCUGCGGGUUGUAAAGCACUUUCAGUGGGGAGGAAGGCUUCAGUGCUAAUAACGCUGAAGAUUGACGUUACCCACAGAAGAAGCACCGGCUAACUCUGUGCCAGCAGCCGCGGUAAUACAGAGGGUGCAAGCGUUAAUCGGAAUUACUGGGCGUAAAGGGUGCGUAGGUGGUUAAUUAAGUCAGAUGUGAAAUCCCUAGGCUUAACCUAGGAAUUGCGUUUGAGACUGAAUAGCUAGAGUACAGUAGAGGGAAGUGGAAUUUCCGGUGUAGCGGUGAAAUGCGUAGAUAUCGGAAGGAACAUCAGUGGCGAAGGCGACUUCCUGGACUGUUACUGACACUGAGGCACGAAAGCGUGGGGAGCGAACAG